GUCUCUUACACCUCUCGAGCAACCUUAGAAAUUAGCGAACACUCAGCUAAUAAUACCAACUUUGACCAGAAAAAAACAAAUUCUCUACUGGUUAAGGACUCUGAUGAAGUUGAUUUACCCGUUGUUUUCUCCCUUAACAAGAAUUAUGGACUAGUCAAUGGAAGAGACAAGGCUCCAAUCCAGCUUCUCUCUGCAAGCAAUCCUUUAAAAUCUAUCGUUGCUAAUGACAAAGGCUCAACCAAAGAGUCUAAGUCUGCAAAGUCUAAUUCUGAGA
RNAcentral lists this long non-coding RNA (274 nucleotides) under Bemisia tabaci. Its description in RNAcentral is "lncRNA ENSSSA2NGG007149". The record is from RNAcentral. Lineage: Eukaryota; Metazoa; Arthropoda; Insecta; Hemiptera; Aleyrodidae.